Molecule: long non-coding RNA, 202 nt
Filed under: Elaeis guineensis (African oil palm)
Lineage: Eukaryota; Viridiplantae; Streptophyta; Magnoliopsida; Arecales; Arecaceae
Description: long non-coding RNA (EGUI_LNC022566)
Source: RNAcentral
ACUGCCAUACGAACUUGAGUUUGCUGUCGGACUUCUAGAAGUAGAUCUAGAUUGACUUUCUGACAUUUAAAAUUGCUCGGCUCACUGUAUUGCUCAAUCCUUAUGAAAGUAAUCCGAUCUCAAGUGGGAUCAUUGCUUCUAUUUCAUAGGCUAAAUUGAAUGACGAUUCUUUCAUUGAUAUACGAGGAGUCGAUCAAUAUGU